RNAcentral lists this ribosomal RNA (397 nucleotides) under uncultured bacterium. RNAcentral describes it as "partial 16S ribosomal RNA". It matches the Rfam family "Bacterial small subunit ribosomal RNA", at positions 523 to 918 of the family's 1533-position model. The record is from RNAcentral.
AUACGUAGGGGGCGAGCGUUGUCCGGAAUGAUUGGGCGUAAAGGGCGCGUAGGCGGCGCGGUAAGUCUGGAGUGAAAGUCCUGCUUUCAAGGUGGGAAUUGCUUUGGAUACUGCCGCGCUUGAGUGCAGGAGAGGUUAUCGGAAUUCCCGGUGUAGCGGUGAAAUGCGUAGAGAUCGGGAGGAACACCAGUGGCGAAGGCGGGUAACUGGACUGCAACUGACGCUGAGGCGCGAAAGUGUGGGGAGCAAACAGGAUUAGAUACCCUGGUAGUCCACACUGUAAACGAUGAAUGCUAGGUGUAAGAGGUAUCGACCCCUUUUGUGCCGGAGUCAACACAAUAAGCAUUCCGCCUGGGGAGUACGGCCGCUAGGUUGAAACUCAAAGGAAUUGACGGGG